Molecule: ribosomal RNA, 375 nt
Filed under: uncultured bacterium
Lineage: Bacteria
Description: bacterial SSU rRNA
Rfam family: Bacterial small subunit ribosomal RNA
Source: RNAcentral
UACGGAGGGUGCGAGCGUUAAUCGGAAUUACUGGGCGUAAAGCGCGCGUAGGCGGUUUGUUAAGUCAGCUGUGAAAGCCCCGGGCUCAACCUGGGAACUGCAGUUGAUACUGUCCGACUAGAGUACGAGAGAGGGAGGUAGAAUUCCAUGUGUAGCGGUGAAAUGCGUAGAUAUAUGGAGGAAUACCGGUGGCGAAGGCGGCCUCCUGGCUCGAUACUGACGCUGAGGUGCGAAAGCGUGGGGAUCAAACAGGAUUAGAUACCCUGGUAGUCCACGCUGUAAACGAUGUCUACUAGCCGUUGGGAGACUUGAUUUCUUAGUGGCGCAGCUAACGCAAUAAGUAGACCGCCUGGGGAGUACGGCCGCAAGGUUAAA